This 446-nucleotide ribosomal RNA is filed under the name uncultured bacterium. RNAcentral's name for it is "bacterial SSU rRNA". It matches the Rfam family "Bacterial small subunit ribosomal RNA", at positions 330 to 792 of the family's 1533-position model. The record is from RNAcentral.
CCCAGACUCCUACGGGAGGCAGCAGUGGGGGAUAUUGCACAAUGGGGGAAACCCUGAUGCAGCGACGCCGCGUGAAUGAAGAAGUAUUUCGGUAUGUAAAGCUCUAUCAGCAGGGAAGAAAAAAGACGGUACCUGACUAAGAAGCCCCGGCUAACUACGUGCCAGCAGCCGCGGUAAUACGUAGGGGGCAAGCGUUAUCCGGAUUUACUGGGUGUAAAGGGAGCGUAGACGGCAAUACAAGUCGGAAGUGAAAUACCCGGGCUCAACCUGGGAACUGCUUUGGAAACUGUAUGGCUGGAGUGCUGGAGAGGUAAGCGGAAUCCCUAGUGUAGCGGUGAAAUGCGUAGAUAUUAGGAGGAACACCAGUGGCGAAGGCGGCUUACUGGACAGUAACUGACGUUGAGGCUCGAAAGCGUGGGGAGCAAACAGGAUUAGAUACCCCAGUA